GCGAGUGUAACUCAGUUGGUAGAGUAUCACGUUGCCAACGUGAUUGUCGACGGUUCGAAUCCGUUCACUCGCUCCA
Molecule: transfer RNA, 76 nt
Filed under: bioreactor metagenome
Description: tRNA-Gly
Rfam family: tRNA
About the family: Transfer RNA (tRNA) molecules are approximately 80 nucleotides in length. Their secondary structure includes four short double-helical elements and three loops (D, anti-codon, and T loops).
Source: RNAcentral